GAACAGCUCAACCAUGAGGACCUUCUCCUUGUGGAUCUGGAGACUGAUGUCCUUUGGUAUGUCUGGGAUCAACCAAUCCACAAAGUCACUCAUGAGCAUCACGACGUUCUGUGAGGAAACAAAUAGGAGCAUGUGCAACACGGACGACGAGUACUUCAGCGCUUCCUUGAGAACCCCCUCUACAUUAAGGCGGAGAAGUGCGAGUUUCAUUCGCCAUCCGUCUCAUUUCUGGGUUACAUUGUGGAGAAAGUCAGUCAAUUUGACUAAGACUGUCUUAUGACUUCAGCAUCUAUUUGAUGGCAGUUCUCCACAGGGUUCUGUUAUCAGCUGUUGACUGUCAGAGCUGAGAGUAGAGCAGUUCCCUUGGAAGCCAAGCCAUCUGAGGUUUUUCUGUAUUAGAAUAUCAGCAAUGCCUGGCAGGUUUGCAGGGAGUAAGUCAGGAAGUAAGAUUUACCAACGUAGAUCCGCACAUCACAUUGGCUGGCAACCAAGCAAACUUCACUCUCAACCGGAUCACGGCACCAAUGUAACCCGCCUGGUCUAGCCAGCUCUGCAGAAUGAGAGUCGAGACCACUAGCCGUCGAGCUAAAAGUGCAGACUGUGAACUCAACAUCCCACACGACUCUUAAAAGGUGCUGUUUGUCAUGGUUAGGUACUGCAAUGAGGGCACUAGCGUUUGAACCUACUAGAUACCGCCGUCUCACCACUCACAAUAUGCAAGCGGCCCACGUAAAACAAACACCCAGAAAAGGUAACGUGAGCUUCCCUGAGACCGCAUGUACAGUAUGUGUAUGUGCACGCACACUAUGGGCAUGUUCCUGUGAACCAGCCAUGAGCGAGUGACAGCCAUUAACGCCACUCCCCCUUUUCUGACCGAAUGACAUUAAAACAUUCAACAUUCAGUUUAAGUGGUAAUUGUGAAGAAUAUAAUUUUUUUUGUACAAUCUUUUCUCUGUUUACUAUUGGUAACAUAUGCUAGCCGGUGGUGGUGUUAUAUUUUUUAGGUGAAAAAAGUGCCAUUUGGAGCCAAGGAAAGAUAGCAUUUUUUGGCGUCAGGGAGUUAGAUUUACCAACAUAUUUUCGCACAGGGUUCGUAUCUCCGUAGGGCAUCUCUGUGUGGAGUUUCUCAAAUAUUCCGGUUUCCUCCCACAUUACAAAAAUAUGCAUGUUGUAUGUUGCUGUGUUAGGUUAAUUGGUAAAUGUAAAUUGUCCAUAGGUAUGAAUGUGAGUGUGAAUGUUUGUUUCUCUAUAUGUGAUUGAUUGGCGACUAGUCCGGGGCGUACCCCGCCUCCUGCCUGAAGUCAGCUGGGAUAGGCUCCAGCAUACCCUUGCGACCCUAGUGACGAUAAGCGGCAUAGAAGAUGGAUGGAUGAAGCAUCCUCACAAGCACACUGGCUGGCACCCCUUACAUAUAAACCCCUCACAUUUCCGCAAAUAUUUUACGAUAUCUUUUCAUGGGAAAACACUAAAGAUACAAGAUACAUUUUGAUACAAAGAAGUGUACAGCUUGAAUAACAGUGCGACUGUACUAAUCCAAUGAUGUUCAUUUGGUCUAUUGGUAAUAUAUUCUGAACAAUUCUUUUCCCAAAACAGAGUUACAUCACGUGAGCACUCUGAGGAAGACUGUGAGUGAAAUGUCAAGUGUAAAAAACUAACUCUGAUCUGAGAAAUAAAGUGUGUGAGUCAAAACAUAAGUCAUAAGUCAACACAUAACCAUUAAUGUUUAAAUCGCUGGCAACAAAAGUGAGCGUGGAGUGGGCAUAGAGAACAUCACAGGUUGCCUCUUCCACUUUUUCAUGAGGCCCAACGUUUUUAAUAUAUUUUCUCCCAAGAAAGCACCUACCAAUAUCUUUGGCUUUGACAGCAAUCGGCCUUCUGAGCUCCAUAACAAACUUUUUGGCGUCCAGGCGUAUCUCAAUGAUGUUAUUCAGAAGAGCAAAGAGUGGCGCCAGAGGAAAGGAGGCCACAAAAAGAGUCACCAUCCCAAACUGGAUGACUAUGGAAACAAACACAAACUGGUGUUAAAAACAGAAGAUUUUAAAAGCAUGAGUUAGUGAAGUCAACAGGAACAUAAGUAAUUAGGGGUGAAACAAUACGGUAUCAGGUUGGGCUUAUGGAGAUAUACAUUUACAAUGGAUGAAUGUCAUAUCAAUUAUGGAACCAGAAUCAUUUUUUUGUACCCUUCUUUUUCCAGGAUGGAAUGAUCAUGCAAAGUACAUCUUCAAGAAUUAGCUUAAAUAUCCCAAGUUCCACCUCUACAGUUUUGGUUGUCAACAAGCUUCUGGUAUGAUUCAGAAUGGAUAUUUGACCAUUUCUGUUGGCAGAAUUGACAGUGUUCCUUUCAGUUGGUUUGUUUCCUGGCAUGGACACAGUUUAGCUGGUUAAAGAUCUCAAGGGAGCUGUGACCACAGCCACCAAAAAUACAUGCACAUCUACAGGUAUAUCAGAAUUAUACCAAUGAACACCUGAACGAUUCAGAGAAGGUUUGGGAGAAUGUGAUAUGGUCAGAUUUAGAAGAAUAAACAGAGCUGUUAGGCAUUAAUGUUUGGAGCCAGACAAAUGCUGAAUCUGAAGCCAAGAACACCAUCUCCAAAGUCAAAAAUGGAGGUGGGAACAUUCUGCCAAAAGCAUAUGACCAAGGCAACAAAGGAGUGGCUCAAGAAGAAGCACACUGAGAGCCUAUAGCCAGACCUUAAUCCCUUAGAAAAUCAAUAGAGGGAUCUGAAUCUUCAAUUUGCCAAGUGACAGCCUCAAAAGCUUCAAGGGAUGGCACGCUUAUUGUUUUUUGAUUGCAGUAUUUGUUUUGUCCUGCAUAUGGUGUGUGCUUAUUAAAAUGCAAGUCAACCAACGAGUUGAUAACGAUCCACUCAAUCUUGCUUCUGUGACAAGUCUGUCUACACUCUACGAUUCCCGGCUCGGCUCAGUCAUUAUUAUUCAAAUCCACUAUUUGGCGUACAAGCUAUGCCAUCUCUAAAACAUGAUCUCUAAAAAAGGAGUGAUGCGCUUCCUUUACAUGUAUUUAUUUAUUUUUAGCUUGUGUCCUGGAUGGGUCUGGUCCUUGAUGAUGACGUAAUGGGAGUGGGCCAUCUCCUCCAGGGAGGAUAAGGGACAGCCGUUAUUUGGGCUGUAUUUAUUACUCUCUGUAGAGCCUUCCUGCCUGCUGUGGAACAGGUGGCAUACCAGACAGUGAUGGAGAACACCAUGACAAUUGGUAGAAAGGCCUUUCUCCAAGUGCAUCUAAAUAAUCCACACUGCUUGCGUGUUGUAAUUCCAAUGACGUCUUACGAUCAUAUCUUAACUUGUCCAACUAUGGCGCGUUCAGGCACCACCGAUCAAGGUGCAAACUCACAAAGCUUAACAAAUAAACAUCAAUGAAGCAUACAGACAUAAACAUGUAAAUUUGUGAGCUUUCUAAUAGUGGCACAUGUAUGAUGUACAUUUGACUUGUAUUAUCUCAUAUUUAUAGAUUAUUACGGACUGACUUAUAGUGAAUGAGAUGUGUUUUCUGUGGAAAAAUGGCCUAUUUGUGGACCAAAAAAAACUGACCAUGAAUGCUAAAAUACGAAUGAGCUGGGUUCCACUCUCAGUGUCUCACUAUAUGUUGCUGCACAGUGAGCAGAGAGGUAGCCGGUGGACGGUUGUGGCAGCGAGCCAAAGCGGGAUGCACAUUUUACAUAUUGUAUGUCAUUGGGCAGAAGAGUUUUAAAAUAUGCUUGAUUAAAAUCACCAGCAAUGACAAGGACACCUUGAUAUCGUGUACAUAAAUAGUUAUGACACAUAAAAGACACAUGUUGCAGUGUUAUGUUGCCUUUGGAGGCCAUACCUGCACAGUGCAUCGUUUUAAUUAAUAAUUAGCUAUAAGUCAAGCUGUCAGCUGCCUGUUCUUUUGAAAACCUAUAUAAGCUGUUGGCUCUGUGGGCAGAUGGAAUGGUCGCCACAUGAUUGACAGAACAUCUAAGUCAGGUAACAGUGAUGAUUUAUAACCUGGCAAUUUUUGCAUCAGUCUUUAUGAAUAUGAACAUAGAAAAAAAUCUGCUGCAAUUCAGUCGAUGGUUGUUGUGACCCGCUAACUGUACAAGCAGCAGUCCCUGAUGGUUUUGCUCCAAUUUGUCUAGUUUAUGGACGAUUGA
Long non-coding RNA from Dunckerocampus dactyliophorus (ringed pipefish), 4130 nucleotides. RefSeq lists it as uncharacterized. The transcript has 4 exons. Lineage: Eukaryota; Metazoa; Chordata; Actinopteri; Syngnathiformes; Syngnathidae. The record is from RefSeq and is a predicted model, not a curated record.